Ipomoea nil (Japanese morning glory) is the source of this 81-nucleotide transfer RNA. It matches the Rfam family "tRNA". From Rfam's summary of the family: Transfer RNA (tRNA) molecules are approximately 80 nucleotides in length. Their secondary structure includes four short double-helical elements and three loops (D, anti-codon, and T loops). NCBI's taxonomy places the organism in Eukaryota, Viridiplantae, Streptophyta, Magnoliopsida, Solanales, Convolvulaceae. The record is from Rfam.
GUCAAGAUGACCGAGUUGGUCUAAGUCGCCAGUUUCAGGUACUGGUCCGAAAGUGUAUGGGUUCAAAUCCCAUUCUUGAUA